Molecule: long non-coding RNA, 546 nt
Filed under: Chloebia gouldiae (Gouldian finch)
Lineage: Eukaryota; Metazoa; Chordata; Aves; Passeriformes; Passeridae
Description: Erythrura gouldiae (Gouldian finch) lncRNA (ENSEGOG00005002853.1)
Source: RNAcentral
CUUUGGGUGGUGAUCUUGACACACUUCAGAGAAGUCUGACUGUUGAGCAGCUUCCCCUGUGGGAGAAAAACAACAGACCCUAUGGCUCACAUCCCAACCCAUCCUGUCUCAUCCUGUCUCCUGCCUAUUGAGGGGAAUAUAUAUUUGAAUCUCUGCCUCUUUGCUCCUUCUUACCUAACAGAUUUUCAGUCCAAGAGAAGAGGCUCUUCUAUUUAGGUCCUGAGGUUACAGACUAAAUAUCUGGGAAUGAUCCAGUUGGAGGCUGUGUUAUGGACACCUCAUUCCAGAAGACAAUCAAUGAAUCUCAACUUUGUCAUGUCUCCUGGGACAGAGACUUGCAGCAGUUUUGGGCUACCAUAUGGGUGCUUUAAUUUCUGUCCAAGUCUCCUACAGACAAAGCAGACAACAAAUGUGAUCAGUGCUGACACUGGAGGAGCUCUGCAGUUGGAACAUUCAUUUCACUAUAAGCAAGUACAACCCUGGCACAGAGUAUCCAAAUGAAAGGCACCACCAACAAUAAAACAUACACUGCCAAAAAUGAAUCCA